ACUGCUAAAAAAACACAGAAGAAAAAGUAGUGUGUUUGCGUUUGUGUGUGUGUGUGUGUGCGUGCGCGCGCGCGCGCGUGGUUCGUUCGUUCUGUCUCCAGGCUAGUGGCUAAGUACUGAGGGCUUCAUCUAUCUAAAAGGAGUUAUUUCCAUCUGAAUUUGGCAGCACCGGGACACAGCAGCAGAGCGAGUCCACAUCCAGAAGACUGGAGCCGUGUUUCACUGACAGGCUGUCAGACUAACGCCCUGAUGAGCUCAGCUGGGACAAACUGGUCUGAUGUUUAGGUAAGUGAAGAUCUGCUUCUCCAAGUCCUUGAGAUGCUAGUAAAAAAUAAUUUAGCCAGCUUGCUAAUGUUACUUUUCUUCUCCUCUAAGGAACACAGAACGUUCAGAUGUUGGCGCUUCACGUCACCUACUGAGGAAGGAGACCCACCAGUAAAGAGACGGUCUGGACCAGACCAAAAAUAUGGCGAUGACAUCAUGGAACUGGUCUUUGGAAAAGUUUUCCCUGAACCAACUCCGUUUCUAGAUGAGGUAGAGAAGAUCUGCAUCUCACCAACCCUCUGGUCUCAGUAUUCAGACAACGGAGGUCUCCCACUGUUAUCCAGGACCAGUUUGAAGCCCACAUACUGCCCCUCCCUCAUCAUCAGGAAACAUCAAUCCGUAUCCUGA
Molecule: long non-coding RNA, 672 nt
Filed under: Nothobranchius furzeri (turquoise killifish)
Lineage: Eukaryota; Metazoa; Chordata; Actinopteri; Cyprinodontiformes; Nothobranchiidae
Description: lncRNA (ENSNFUG00015022344.1)
Source: RNAcentral